Long non-coding RNA from Carassius auratus (goldfish), 264 nucleotides. RefSeq lists it as uncharacterized. The transcript has 4 exons. The record is from RefSeq and is a predicted model, not a curated record. NCBI's taxonomy places the organism in Eukaryota, Metazoa, Chordata, Actinopteri, Cypriniformes, Cyprinidae.
CAAAGAUCUAAGUGCCCUGUGCCAGGUAUGGCUGGAGUCAAAGGAUCAUGUGAUUGUCAAGCAAGAGGGAGAGGAAACCGCAGAGCUCACUCCUCCAACACCCAGAGUGUGGACUGAGUAUGUGGUGAGGCCUAGUACAGGAGAGGAGAGGCAUGUUUUUCAAGAGCAGGAGCAGCAGCGUUAUGAUCAAUAUAAACACAAAACAGCGCGGAAGCCCCUCACGGAUGACUGCCGUGCACAAACAAAACACAAACUAAAACCCAG